Molecule: non-coding RNA, 231 nt
Organism: Vicia faba (fava bean)
Lineage: Eukaryota; Viridiplantae; Streptophyta; Magnoliopsida; Fabales; Fabaceae
Source: the annotation of a GenBank genome assembly
AUGAUCUUGCUCCUUCAAUCGCACUCGGUUCCGUCCAGACGAGACUUCAUACGGCUCAAGUCUCAACAUCGACCUCUGAUUCAGUUUCGACGCGAUGAAGAUGAUGGAAAUCAAAACGAGAACGACAGGAAAGCAUUGAUGCAGAGCUUUUGUGUUAGUUGUAAUAAAGAUGCAGAUGCCUUGGUGAUGAAGGAUGAUGAAUAUUUUCUGAGAGGGUCAGCAGUGGUGUAG